Molecule: long non-coding RNA, 230 nt
Filed under: Eucalyptus grandis
Lineage: Eukaryota; Viridiplantae; Streptophyta; Magnoliopsida; Myrtales; Myrtaceae
Description: long non-coding RNA (EGRA_LNC003242)
Source: RNAcentral
GACUCCAGCGAAACUGCUUCGCUUCUUCCUGCCGGCUCCGUUCCAGUAGCCCAGCCCGCGGCCUUCAUCUGGCCGUGCGAAGUCCACGAAGCCCAGCGUUGUGGACCCUUUUUCAACAGCAAUUCAGGCCCAAAUUUCAGCCCAAGAACCAGCCCAUCAUCAAUUGGAUUUGAAGCCCAGCAGUUUCAGUCUUUCGGGCCCAGCAAAGACAGGCCCAAUUUAGUUUUAUU